CUAAAAUCCGUUGGCUUUAUUGACCGUGAGGGUUCAAGUCCCUCUACCCCCA
RNAcentral lists this transfer RNA (52 nucleotides) under Diphyscium foliosum. RNAcentral describes it as "partial tRNA-Leu". Lineage: Eukaryota; Viridiplantae; Streptophyta; Bryopsida; Diphysciales; Diphysciaceae. RNAcentral also lists the same sequence under 1 other name. The record is from RNAcentral.